UGAAAGAAGCCUGAAAUAUCCAAGUGCUGCAAAAUGAUGAAGGCCGUGCUUGCUCUUGUUUUGGCUAUGGCAGCCAUCGCUUGCGCCUCCACCGGCGUCGAUGUCAUUCGCCACACUCCCGGAUAUGAUGGCUUCUACGGUCUCUACGGAUAUGCACCAUAUUAUUACGGAUACGGAAACGGAUAUUUCGGAUAUGAUGAACUUGGUUUUGGACCUUACAACUACUAUGGUCUUGGAUACCGAGGAUACUUGGGAGGACUCGGUUAUUAUGGUUAUUUUUAAACACCAAUUACCAGAAUUUGAUAAUCCACUUCAGAAACGAUAAUUAUCUGUAGUAUGAAUCAAUUAUCCAGAAUAAAAUCUUGAAACAUC
This is a long non-coding RNA of Argiope bruennichi, 372 nucleotides long. RefSeq lists it as uncharacterized. The transcript is spliced from 3 exons. NCBI's taxonomy places the organism in Eukaryota, Metazoa, Arthropoda, Arachnida, Araneae, Araneidae. The record is from RefSeq and is a predicted model, not a curated record.